CCCGCACAAGCGGUGGAGUAUGUGGUUUAAUUCGAUGCAACGCGAAGAACCUUACCUGGUCUUGACAUCCCGGAGACCCUUAGGAAACUAGGGGGUGCUUCCAUCUGGAAGAAUCUGGAGACAGGUGCUGCAUGGCUGUCGUCAGCUCGUGUCGUGAGAUGUUGGGUUAAGUCCCGCAACGAGCGCAACCCUUGCCUUUAGUUGCCAGCAGUUCGGCUGGGCACUCUAAAGGGACUGCCGGUGUUAAACCGGAGGAAGGUGGGGAUGACGUCAAGUCCUCAUGGCCUUUAUGACCAGGGCUACACACGUACUACAAUGGCCGAUACAAAGGGCAGCGACAUUGCGAGGUGAAGCCAAUCCCGUAAAAUCGGUCUCAGUCCGGAUUGGAGUCUGCAACUCGACUCCAUGAAGUUGGAAUCGCUAGUAAUCGUGGAUCAGCAUGCCACGGUGAAUACGUUCCCGGGCCUU
This 468-nucleotide ribosomal RNA is filed under the name uncultured Desulfobulbus sp. Its description in RNAcentral is "bacterial SSU rRNA". It matches the Rfam family "Bacterial small subunit ribosomal RNA", at positions 920 to 1382 of the family's 1533-position model. Lineage: Bacteria; Pseudomonadati; Thermodesulfobacteriota; Desulfobulbia; Desulfobulbales; Desulfobulbaceae. The record is from RNAcentral.